Long non-coding RNA from Trifolium pratense (red clover), 2709 nucleotides. RefSeq lists it as uncharacterized. NCBI's taxonomy places the organism in Eukaryota, Viridiplantae, Streptophyta, Magnoliopsida, Fabales, Fabaceae. The record is from RefSeq and is a predicted model, not a curated record. The transcript is spliced from 10 exons.
CAACUCACGUAGAAUAAACGCAGACUACGAUUCAUAUGAUCAGGUUUAUGGCUUUGUGUUAGGUUUCUUUGUUACCGUUUUCAAUCUGUCCAACUCCGAAUUCAAUUUCUUUCUAAUUCUAACUGAUCAUCGAAUCGAUUCAACCCUAGUAUGAAACCCACAAUGUCUCAUUGCCUCCAAUCUUUCGUUCGACCCAAUUUCUUCUCUAUUAGUGAAACUGAUUCGUUCUUCCUGAAUCUUGAUUAUUCGAACCCUAAUUUUUUUUGGAAGAUCAUGUAUCGUCAUUUUCGGGUUUCAUGUUUCUGAACCCUAAAAAUCUUGAUUCGAUUUGAAAGUGAAAUGUAGAAAUCGAAAAGAAUUAAACGACGACGUUGGAUUCACUUCACUCUCAAUCCAAAUUGUAAAGGAACCUGUUGCUCUGAGACUCACAUCCACUGGUAAAGUCACCAGAUACUGGAAGACAUUUAUCUUCACUUGAGUUGCAUUACCCUUCACAAUGAUAGUAAUUGUUCGUAAAUGGGACCAGCAAAAGGAAAGGCUAGUCAAUGUGUAUGAGGAAGAGGAAGAUAUAGUCAAGCUGUUAAAAAUAUAGAAUUUGACCAACAUCUUGGGCCUUACAAUCAUAGCGACUAUGAAGAUUGGAAGCGAUUAUCUAAUUUCGUUACAAAGAGCAUCAUCGAAUGGCUUGAGCCCAUCGGAGGAGAAAUCAGUGUUGAUUGCGAAAAUGAUAUGUUUAGAAACACUCCAAAACAUCAAUGGAGGAAGCACCAGACAAGCAAGCAGCUAAAGGUUGGUAAUUCUGCAACGUCUAUUGGCACAAACCAGAUAAAAGGAUGUUAUUAUACCUCGAUUCCACGAGUUGUAAAACGCAAGGGGAUCAGUGAACAGGAACUUCUUUGAAUCAUGACAAGAGCCUUAACAUGUUGCUUUUUGUUGAUAUGUGCUCAUGUUUUAUGUUGGACUUCUCUGACACAAUUGCUAGAAACUCUUGUGGAAAAAAAUUAUGGAGGUUCCGAACACUUGCUCCUUGGAGAACUGCAGUUUGCAUUAAUUGCCUUUUUGAUGGGUCAGUCGUUAGAAGCAUUUCUCCGGUGGAAAUCCUUGCUUAGCCUUCUGUUUGGCUGCACUGAAGCAGUAAGUAUAUUUUUUGAGUUGUAUUGGGUUUGAAUAAUGUAUGCAUAGAUUAUUAGAUGUAAAAAAAGUUUCUUUUUGUAUGCUAAAAAUGGUUCAUUUAGAUGUGAUAACAUCACUUUCUUAUCAACAUCUUUGGAGACGUUUAUACGAUGCACACAUCAUACACAACUGUAACAUGAUUAAUAUUAUAAUUUCCAUGGAUUAGCUAUUCAAUUUACUCAGAAGUGAGCCAUUAGUAUUCAGUUUUUUAUUAUUGUUGAACCAGUUCAUGGGGGUAAGGGGGGGGUAUUGAUAGCAAUUAAGCAUUAAGUAAAGUGGUUUCGUGGCAUUUGCUUACGGUUCAAUGGUUACUUGUGUUUUGUUAGACGCUGGUUUUGUCUAUGCAUCUAGCUUUUGUUCUUCAUUGUGGAGUGGAUGUUGGUGAAGCUCUUGGAUUUCUGUAAACUCUAAUUUAGAGAAGAAAGCACCAGAUUAUGUUGCUCAAAAGACAUAAUCUCAGGAGCCCUUUCUGCACAAGGUACAUCUUAUAUUACAAUGAAGUGAUAAAUGUUAAUGUACAACUCUUCAAAGAAUUUGAGAAAGAUGUUAUUAUGUUUAUUACGUAUCGAGUCUUAUUUGUUGUUCAAAUGUAUAAAUCAGUUGCUAUUUGCUUGAUGGAGGUUGUAACAUAUAAAAAAUAGUAGGAAAUAUUGCUCAUCUAUUGUCAAUACCACUGGAUGUGUUCUUAUUUAGUCGACAAAAACUAUUAGAUGGCUCUUUCACUUUAAUAGUGACUUGUUUUCUGAAUUUUCAUAACAUCUUUCUAUUCAGAGCUUGCCUAACUUAUGUGGGUUUCGAGGUUUUAAACAUAAUUGUUUGAUUGAGACAUGGAUUACUAACCCAUAUUUAGACUGGUUUGCAUAGGGUAAAUUGACGUAAAGUGCGAAGGUAUAAAGGAGAAAAAGACUUGAGAAGAAGGGGAAGUUCUAGUUGGCGGGUGAUAUAGUAUCUGACUAAGCAAGAGAAGACUCUUAGCUUGCAGAAGGAUAGAAAUUGAGAGAGACUUGAGAUAGCAAAUAGAGGCUAAACAUUUACGUUGAUGGGUGUUAAGAAAAGGCCUAAAUUCAAGCCUAAUUUGUUUGAGGCUUUUAUUUAUUUAUUUUUUAACUACAAUUCAACAAAUGACUAAUUUAUCGCAAAAGGUUCAAUAUGGAAUUAUUGCUGAUCAAAAUGCAAUGGUGGAAGAUUUGGGUGAAUGGAAGGAGGGACAAUGGCUUUUGGUGCAGAAGUGGCCGAGGGAAUUAAUGCAGUAGGUGUAUGUAUGCCUUUUUUUUUCACAAGUUUUGGAGGUUGAGGAUAUUGACAGAUUGCAAUGGUUAGCUGAUCUGGUAGGCGCUUAUUCAGUGAAAUCAGCAUAUGACGUAAUUUCAAAUGGGGAUGUUCUCUGUUGGACCUGCUUUUAAGGGUAUUAAGAUGAUUCUUCCGGGUACUCAUUUUGUCUACUAUAGUUCAUCAACCAGGUUUGAUUAUUCUGCUUAAUCCUGUAUAAUUCAUUUUCUGUCAUUCCUUUAUUUCUGAAUGAGAAAAUGUUAGCAA